Long non-coding RNA from Rhododendron vialii, 536 nucleotides. RefSeq lists it as uncharacterized. The record is from RefSeq and is a predicted model, not a curated record. NCBI's taxonomy places the organism in Eukaryota, Viridiplantae, Streptophyta, Magnoliopsida, Ericales, Ericaceae. The transcript is spliced from 3 exons.
AUGGGAUUGGGCGCCAAGUGUCCGUGAAAAUUUUGAACGUGGGAAAAUGUAAAGCUUACUUUUUCACUAUUCCCCCUGUAUAGACUUUCCCAACCCCAACUUUCCCAAUUCUCUCCGCCAAGUUACUCUCUCUCUCUCUCUCUCUCUCUCACACACACACACACACGAGAUCAAGAAGAACUGGGUCAUCCAAAACCAUUGCCGUUGCCAAUUGACCCUCAUCGGCAGUCCCACCAUCCGACAUCGAUCCCGUCUGUGGCCUACUAGACCUGCGCUUGUCUGACCUGAGCAUAAGAUGGGUAGCUGAUGAGUUCUUCAAUUGCUAAGGCAAUUGGGGCAGUUAGUAAUAUUCCGAAGUACCAAAAAAAAUUGGGCACCUAGUUGCAUGAUCAAGAAACCAAGUGAUGGGAAGCUGAUUGGCUAUAACAUGGACUAUCUUGGAUCUAUUGAGGAAGCACUAGGAGGUUGCUUGUAUUUGAGCUAUCCGUAGUUUGAAAUUCGGGUUUGCUUUCAAAUAACAUUUUCUUUUUGCCGGC